RNAcentral lists this ribosomal RNA (718 nucleotides) under Salmonella enterica. RNAcentral describes it as "partial 23S ribosomal RNA". It matches the Rfam family "Bacterial large subunit ribosomal RNA", at positions 2116 to 2829 of the family's 2925-position model. Lineage: Bacteria; Pseudomonadati; Pseudomonadota; Gammaproteobacteria; Enterobacterales; Enterobacteriaceae. The record is from RNAcentral.
ACUGAACAUUGAGCCUUGAUGUGUAGGAUAGGUGGGAGGCUUUGAAGUGUGGACGCCAGUCUGCAUGGAGCCGGCCUUGAAAUACCACCCUUUAAUGUUUGAUGUUCUAACGUGGACCCGUGAUCCGGGUUGCGGACAGUGUCUGGUGGGUAGUUUGACUGGGGCGGUCUCCUCCUAAAGAGUAACGGAGGAGCACGAAGGUUGGCUAAUCCUGGUCGGACAUCAGGAGGUUAGUGCAAUGGCAUAAGCCAGCUUGACUGCGAGCGUGACGGCGCGAGCAGGUGCGAAAGCAGGUCAUAGUGAUCCGGUGGUUCUGAAUGGAAGGGCCAUCGCUCAACGGAUAAAAGGUACUCCGGGGAUAACAGGCUGAUACCGCCCAAGAGUUCAUAUCGACGGCGGUGUUUGGCACCUCGAUGUCGGCUCAUCACAUCCUGGGGCUGAAGUAGGUCCCAAGGGUAUGGCUGUUCGCCAUUUAAAGUGGUACGCGAGCUGGGUUUAGAACGUCGUGAGACAGUUCGGUCCCUAUCUGCCGUGGGCGCUGGAGAACUGAGGGGGGCUGCUCCUAGUACGAGAGGACCGGAGUGGACGCAUCACUGGUGUUCGGGUUGUCAUGCCAAUGGCACUGCCCGGUAGCUAAAUGCGGAAGAGAUAAGUGCUGAAAGCAUCUAAGCACGAAACUUGCCCCGAGAUGAGUUCUCCCUGAGACUUAGAGUCUCCU